This 486-nucleotide ribosomal RNA is filed under the name Bacillus sp. enrichment culture clone A4n. Its description in RNAcentral is "bacterial SSU rRNA". It matches the Rfam family "Bacterial small subunit ribosomal RNA", at positions 72 to 542 of the family's 1533-position model. The record is from RNAcentral. Lineage: Bacteria; Bacillati; Bacillota; Bacilli; Caryophanales; Bacillaceae.
UUGAAACUUGCUUUUCAAACUUAGCGGCGGACGGGUGAGUACACGUGGGCAACCUGCCCUUGAGACGGGGAUAACUCCGGGAAACCGGAGCUAAUACCGGAUAACACAUAUCUUCGCAUGAGGAUAUGUUAGAAGGUGGCUUUUAGCUACCACUCAAGGAUGGGCCCGCGGCGCAUUAGCUAGUUGGUGAGGUAACGGCUCACCAAGGCGACGAUGCGUAGCCGACCUGAGAGGGUGAUCGGCCACACUGGGACUGAGACACGGCCCAGACUCCUACGGGAGGCAGCAGUAGGGAAUCUUCCGCAAUGGACGAAAGUCUGACGGAGCAACGCCGCGUGAGUGAUGAAGGUUUUCGGAUCGUAAAGCUCUGUUGUUAGGGAAGAACAAGUACCUGUUNAAUAAGCAGGUACCUUGACGGUACCUAACCAGAAAGCCACGGCUAACUACGUGCCAGCAGCCGCGGUAAUACGUAAGUGGCAAGCGUUU